CAAUAGCGUAUAUUAAAGUUGUUGCAGUUAAAAAGCUCGUAGUUGGAUUUCUGGUUGAAGCGACCGGUCGGGCGUUGAUUCGUCUGCACUGGAGUCGGUUUUGGCCAUCCUCUAGGAAAGUGCGUCUGGUAUUAAGUAAUCGGGCGUAUGAUCCUGGUCUUUUACUGUGAAAAAAUUAGAGUGUUUAAAGCAGGCCUUCGCCUUGAAUACAUUAGCAUGGAAUAAUAAGAUAGGACUUUGGUCUAUUUUGUUGGUUUGCAGACCGAAGUAAUGAUUAAUAGGGAUAGUUGGGGGUAUUUAUAUUCCGAUGUCAGAGGUGAAAUUCUUAGAUUUUCGGAAGAUAAACUUAUGCGAAAGCAUUUACCAAGGAUGUUUUCAUUAA
RNAcentral lists this ribosomal RNA (382 nucleotides) under uncultured eukaryote. Its description in RNAcentral is "partial 18S ribosomal RNA". It matches the Rfam family "Eukaryotic small subunit ribosomal RNA", at positions 592 to 976 of the family's 1831-position model. The record is from RNAcentral.